This 117-nucleotide ribozyme is filed under the name Aedes aegypti (yellow fever mosquito). RNAcentral describes it as "drz-agam-1 ribozyme". It matches the Rfam family "drz-agam-1 ribozyme". The record is from Rfam by way of RNAcentral. Lineage: Eukaryota; Metazoa; Arthropoda; Insecta; Diptera; Culicidae.
UGCCCAGCAACUCCUAUCCCUACCUCCUCACGGUUCUGGCCGGAGUACAAGCAACCUUAGGGAAGAUCGGGUUGUCAACCCCGGAGGGAACUUUGGUCGUAUGCUGACAUGGAAAGG